This 484-nucleotide ribosomal RNA is filed under the name uncultured bacterium. RNAcentral describes it as "partial 16S ribosomal RNA". It matches the Rfam family "Bacterial small subunit ribosomal RNA", at positions 30 to 507 of the family's 1533-position model. The record is from RNAcentral.
AUUGAAGGCUGGCGGCAGGCCUAACACAUGCAAGUCGAGCGGAUGAAGGGAGCUUGCUCCUGGAUUCAGCGGCGGACGGGUGAGUAAUGCCUAGGAAUCUUCCUGUUAGUGGGGGAUAACGUCCGGAAACGGGCGCUAAUACCGCAUACGUCCUGAGUGCGACAGUGGGGGAUCUUCGGACCUCACGCUAUCAGAUGAGCCUAGGUCGGAUUAGCUAGUUGGUGGGGUAAAGGCCUACCAAGGCGACGAUCCGUAACUGGUCUGAGAGGAUGAUCAGUCACACUGGAACUGAGACACGGUCCAGACUCCUACGGGAGGCAGCAGUGGGGAAUAUUGGACAAUGGGCGAAAGCCUGAUCCAGCCAUGCCGCGUGGGUGAAGAAGGUCUUCGGAUUGUAAAGCACUUUAAGUUGGGAGGAAGGGCAGUAAGUUAAUACCUUGCUGUUUUGACGGUACCAACAGAAUAAGCACCGGCUAACUUCGUG